This 253-nucleotide ribosomal RNA is filed under the name uncultured bacterium. RNAcentral's name for it is "partial 16S ribosomal RNA". It matches the Rfam family "Bacterial small subunit ribosomal RNA", at positions 524 to 776 of the family's 1533-position model. The record is from RNAcentral.
UACGUAGGGUGCAAGCGUUGUCCGGAAUUAUUGGGCGUAAAGAGCUCGUAGGCGGUUCGUCACGUCGGCUGUGAAAUCCCGAGGCUCAACCUCGGGUCUGCAGUCGAUACGGGCGGACUUGAGUACUGCAGGGGAGACUGGAAUUCCUGGUGUAGCGGUGAAAUGCGCAGAUAUCGGGAGGAACACCGGUGGCGAAGGCGGUUCUCUGGGCCUGUACUGACGCUGAGGAGCGAAAGCGUGGGGAGCGAACAGG